RNAcentral lists this unclassified non-coding RNA (251 nucleotides) under uncultured Caryophanales bacterium. RNAcentral describes it as "uncultured Bacillales bacterium contains 16S-23S intergenic spacer region". It matches the Rfam family "Bacterial small subunit ribosomal RNA", at positions 524 to 776 of the family's 1533-position model. The record is from RNAcentral. Lineage: Bacteria; Bacillati; Bacillota; Bacilli; Caryophanales.
UACGUAGGUGGCAAGCGUUGUCCGGAAUUAUUGGGCGUAAAGCGCGCAGGCGGUCUUUUAAGUCUGAUGUGAAAGCCCACGGCUCAACCGUGGAGGGUCAUUGGAAACUGGAGGACUUGAGUACAGAAGAGGAGAUCGGAAUUCCACGUGUAGCGGUGAAAUGCGUAGAGAUGUGGAGGAACACCAGUGGCGAAGGCGACUUUCUGGUCUGUAAUUGACGCUGAGGCUCGAAAGCGUGGGGAGCGAACAGG